This is a long non-coding RNA of Oreochromis aureus, 717 nucleotides long. NCBI's taxonomy places the organism in Eukaryota, Metazoa, Chordata, Actinopteri, Cichliformes, Cichlidae. The record is from Ensembl.
CCGCCACAACACACAAACCAACACAGCUUUGCGAGUCUGAUGUCGAUGUCUUCCCUAUAGAUGAUUCCAGAGACUCUGUGAGGCCACUAUUACAAGAUGCGACCUCACAAAAGAUGUUAACGAUGCUGUCAGACCUGACCAGAGCAGUUAACGAACUCCGUGAGGAGGUCAGAGCCAACCGCCAUCCCUGCUGCAAUGAAUCUGUAGAUGCUGGGGUAUUGCCUCUGGAUUUGCCCUUGCACAACAUGGAGGAGCUAAACAAUGCAGAGGCAGCUCUUCAAUCACCGGAGGCAAAUAAGGCAAUGGUGAGACGCUUUGCCUUGAUUGAAGAGAACCAGACUGGAGGUGCGACUCCGCCGCACCGCCAAACGAGCUGGCCUCGGUACUCAAGUGGGCAGGGAAAAAAACCAAUGACCAGACAGAGCAAAAAUGGGCAUUUAAAGAGACAGCGCUGUGCAGAUGCAUAUUUGAUGGCCUGACGCAGCAGGUAGGGGCGAACUCUAUGUCUGAGUUUGUCUUUGCUCAAGCAGUCCAGAAAUGGCUCAGAUACGCUCUGGAUCGUAUGGGUGGCGCAGGACGCACAUCAUCCAUCCCCAUCCCGGAGUAAAAAUUAAAAAGUGAUGUGAAACAUAGAAAUCUUAAUAGGAAACUUUGUCUUUUAAUAAAAUAUUUUGCAAACGAUACAUGUCUAUUGACCAUUUUUUGUUUAGUUUUUUU